UACGUAGGGGGCAAGCGUUAUCCGGAAUUACUGGGCGUAAAGCGCACGCAGGCGGUUCGCCAAGUUUGGAGUGACAGUUGUCGGCUCAACCGACAAAGGACUUCAAAAACUGGUGAACUUGAGGACGAGAGAGGAACAUGGAACUCCAGGUGUAGUAGUGAAAUGCGUAGAUAUCAUUUGGAACGCCAAUGGUGAAAACAGCUCGCUGGGGAUGUACUGACGCUGAGACACGAAAGCCAGGGGAGCAAACGGG
This 253-nucleotide ribosomal RNA is filed under the name uncultured bacterium. RNAcentral's name for it is "partial 16S ribosomal RNA". It matches the Rfam family "Bacterial small subunit ribosomal RNA", at positions 524 to 776 of the family's 1533-position model. The record is from RNAcentral.